This is a long non-coding RNA of Scomber scombrus (Atlantic mackerel), 351 nucleotides long. RefSeq lists it as uncharacterized. The transcript has 3 exons. Lineage: Eukaryota; Metazoa; Chordata; Actinopteri; Scombriformes; Scombridae. The record is from RefSeq and is a predicted model, not a curated record.
UUCGCUGCUCUGGUGCUCUGGGAAUACUAACCAUUUUUGGCGAAGAAAAACUAGCUUUAACUAACAUAUUCAUUGUGCUUUUUUUAGCACCCUCACUUUAACCUGCGUCUCUGCUCAAACGGACGACGAAUAUAUGUGUUUUUUUUUUUUUUAUCCAUACGUGGAGCUACGAAGGAAACAAUAAAAGAAACACACACAGAUGACAGCUGCUGUCUGAACCAGCCAAGCAACCGACCUGCUACUCUUACCUGCUCGCUCGGAUCGUUGCAGUCAGACUGUUUUGGAAGCGAAGGAAGUUUGCUGAAGGUUCUGAGAAGGAGAAGCUCAAAGGGGGGGUUUUCACCCCUGCUG